CAACGCGUAGUUUAAUUUAGAAUCCUA
RNAcentral lists this transfer RNA (27 nucleotides) under Scomberomorus niphonius (Japanese Spanish mackerel). RNAcentral's name for it is "partial tRNA-Pro". Lineage: Eukaryota; Metazoa; Chordata; Actinopteri; Scombriformes; Scombridae. The record is from RNAcentral.